UCCACGCCCUAAACGAUGUGCACUAGCUUCGGGAGUCUCUGACGGCUUCCGGAGCGAAGGGAAACCAUUAAGUGCACCGCCUGGGGACUACGGUCGCAAGAUUAAAACUCAAAGGAAUUGACGGGGGCUCACACAAGCGGUGGAGCAUGUGGCUUAAUUCGAAUCAACGCGAAGAACCUUACCUGGGUUUGACAUGUUUGGAUGCCCUUCCGAAAGGGAAGUAAGCUGCCUUC
RNAcentral lists this ribosomal RNA (233 nucleotides) under uncultured bacterium. RNAcentral's name for it is "partial 16S ribosomal RNA". It matches the Rfam family "Bacterial small subunit ribosomal RNA", at positions 794 to 1028 of the family's 1533-position model. The record is from RNAcentral.